Molecule: long non-coding RNA, 2125 nt
Filed under: Panax ginseng (ginseng)
Lineage: Eukaryota; Viridiplantae; Streptophyta; Magnoliopsida; Apiales; Araliaceae
Description: long non-coding RNA (PGIN_LNC010966)
Source: RNAcentral
UGCCAAGUGCCAACCAUGUAGAUGUAGAUGCAGUGAUCCCAAAAGUUGUAAAUUUACUUUUUAACCAUACUACUAUCACGUAAAAAAAUGAUUAUUCUGAGGCGACAGGGGUUUGGGGACAUUAUUGGUGACUGACUGAUGUGGUACAACCACAUCAGUAUGAGAAACAAAAAAAGUAGUCAAUACCCGGAACAUUUCAUGCUCUUCUCACUUUGCCAAACACUCUCCAUCUCUAGCAUCAAUAUUCUCUCUCUCAGACGCCAAACGCCAGAUGCCGAACUCCUGCUUCGCUGAACAAGCUUCCUCCUGAAAUAACAUCGGCUUUCAAGGUAUUAUCUUCCCAGUUUUUUAUUCUCCUCCUCCUACCAUUACUCUCUCAUAGCCUAAAUUCCCAAAACCCUAAAAUUUAUGCAUACUCUUAUUUUGGGUGAAAAUUUUGUGCAAACUCUUUGAGAAUUGAAAAGGAAGGGGAUUACUUUAAUUGGGAGAGGCAGGUAGAUGUCUUAAUUUGGUUCAACUGUACAAACUUCAAUUUCUAAUUUGUAAUUUGUUUAUACUUUAAACUUCAAUUUCUAAUCUGGGUAUGUAUUAAGGAGUGACGCAAACUUGGGUAUAUAUAUAAAGAUAAUUUAGUACAAUAUGUCAUUUUGUGUAAAGAUAAUUUAGUAUGCACUGGUCAUGGUGAAUAUUUCAGAAUGAAUAUUUAAAAACUAUUUACUUUGUUAACGGGAUUGUCGUAAGAGAGAUGAGGGGUAGGGAAUUAUUAUCUUUAGAUUUAAGGAAGAUCCUUCUAACAAAAAACUGUGUGUUUUGACUCUCAGUUGGUGGAACUCAAAGAAGCAGAGCAGAAAUUUCCUCCAUUUACCUUUUGAAAUAUGUUUAAGAGAAUUUGAUUCAAAGACCCCUUUUAAAUUGUUAUGAUAGUGCUAUUAUAAUUUUACUCUGUUCUUAUACUUGUAUAAUUAGCUGGUUAUAAUAGUUAUGCUAUAUCAAAAACUAGCAACAGUCCGUGUCUCGGGCACUAUGAACGGUGAUAUUUAUCUCAAAUUUUGUACGACCCAAAUGAUUUAUUAGGAUAGACGAAAAAUUUAAAAUUAUUUGUAUUUUAUUAUAUAGAUUAGUGGGACAAAAGAACCAUGUUCCUAGAAACAAUAACUCAAGCAUACAAACUAGACGAUAAGCUGGGAAGUAUUUUCUUGUAGGCUAAAAACAAUAAAAUUAGACUGUAAUUCAAAACACUUUUCUAUUAUAAGUAACAGUAAUUCAAAACAUUAUCCUAGUGCUUGAAAUAAGUAAACCAAUCUGUAUCGAAAUACAUACAUUUUUCUUUUACCAGAGAAGCAACGGAAUCCUGCUAGAAGUUCAGCAUCUCCUUGACGCAACAUGUAAGAGAAAUCAUCAAAGUAGCCCAUGCCACAUAUAAAGUUACAUAAUUACAAAUCAUAAAUAAUUGUCUACACUUGUAAUAAUAUCUACAUGGCCAAAUAGAGUUACAAGCAAAUAAGUAACAAUACACUAUAGUCUAUACAUGUGCAGGUAGAAAUUUUCAGGAAUAUCAAUUUCCCCCGAAGGCUGCAUCGGCAACUUUGUAAAUCUAUCAGGCAAGAUUAUAUCUAACAUCUCAUGCCAACCGUAAGACCUCAAUUUUUUAUAAAUAAAAUUGAAUUUCCUCUAUUCAUUAUUUUGAAAUAAUAAGGUGUUAAUUUGAUAUAAUACUUUGGUUAUGAGUGAGAUGUGCAAAUUUUGCAAAAUAAGCAAGUGGUUAUAAAAUAUUCAUUGUUGUCGGGGAAUAUUCGUUUGGUCGUAGAAUAUUGAAUAUUCUUGUUGUCGGGGAAUAUUUAUACGACGACGCAAUCAUUUAUGGGCCCCAUAACGGAAAACGGUCGGAUGAAAAAAACGAUAAGUUUGAGUUUUUAUAAUAACGCCGCCGUGGUUAUUACUGUUAACACUGUUGGAAUACCUGGUAGUUAAAAUACAAUAAUACGCGUGGUUGCACUGUAGCACACGGUAUUGCACAGUAUUUUUGGAUUAUUGAUUCUUACGUAAGAAGACACUACUUAAUAAUUGUUACAGUAAUUACUGUUCAAUAUUUUAUUUUAUUGAUUCAAUAAUUGCUACGUUGAUA